This is an RNA transcript of Spinacia oleracea (spinach), 2276 nucleotides long. RefSeq lists it as uncharacterized. Lineage: Eukaryota; Viridiplantae; Streptophyta; Magnoliopsida; Caryophyllales; Amaranthaceae. The transcript is spliced from 4 exons. The record is from RefSeq and is a predicted model, not a curated record.
CAAGACCACGAUGGAGUCAGUCAUGUCAUGGGUCGUUCAACAUAAGCUUCAUACCGUCGGAUGUUUAUGGCUGAGUGGGAUCACUGGAUCAAUCGCCUACAAUUGGUCUCGCCCUCAAAUGAAAACUAGGGUUAGGCUUAUUCACGCUAGGUGACUAGCAAGAAGGCAACAUUAAUCGAGUAUCACAAUGAGUUGAGAGAAAAACUUGGUCCAACUUCUACAAUUUCCCGAGAAAAUGGGGAAGUUCUUGGAGAUCGUUACAAACUGCUUCCUGUUGAUUUGAGGGACAUUCCAAGGUUAAAUAAUGUGAUAGGUUUAGCAAACCUUGAUCCUAGGUAUGCAUUUAAUUUUCUGUUUUGUUUAGGUUUUAAUAAUUAAUUCUUCUUAGUAAGUGGUUGUAAAAGAUGGUGAAGCACUGUGUUACCUUUCGGUUUGACAUGGUUGUAUUUGGGACAUCAUUAAGUGACAACAAAGGAAUACAAACACCAGUUAUUAGAAUAGCUUGUAAAGCUUUACAAUAGUUCAGGAAAAAAUAAAAAAUAAAAAAUAAAAGAAUUACAGUAAUUGAGCUCCAGUGCAUGCAAUGCAUUGUUUGUUUAAUUUUCAGUAAUUGAGCUUAAGAAACUGAAUUAAAGAGUAGUUGACAGAUACAUCAACGCGUUGGUACUGAAUUAAAGAGUAGUUGACAGGCUUGAGUUUGUAAUCUUAAACUGUUCUACUCCCUUUUUUCUUGGUUAAGAGACACAAUUGAGAUGUUAGCUUGUUGAUAUGUGCUGUAUUGGAUAUGCUGUUAUUCAAAAACUGAAAGUAUAUGGUCUUUCAUUUCAGCAACCUAAUAGAUUUUCGCAAAACAUAACAUCUAUUUUGCACAUUUCAGUAGUCGCAGUCUUAACUAAUUACUAUGUUCUAAUUUUCCAUUAUACAUUAGUGGAAUGCAAAGUUUCAAACCAAAGAACAGUAUGAUGCACAAUAUUUCAAAGCUAUAAUAAGGUUGUAUCUUAAUAAUGAAAACUGGUAUCUUGGAGCCUAAUUGAACAAAAAUCAAGAAGAUAUGUUCCCUAUACAGAUAUAAUCAACAAUUAAACUUUCAUAGUAAGCUGAGAACCUUACUAUGGAGUAGUUACUACCACCUACAGAGUAUAAAACAAGCCAUAUGUAUUAAUGUAUAUAACACUAACAAUGUUAUCUAGACAAUAUAACAAAUGCAUUGGAUCAAGUUGGUCUGGAAUCGGUUUACUAUGCCCAAGCAUAGAUUCAUAGUUUGGCUUGUUAUGCUUGGGAGGCUACAGACUAGGCAACAAUUAUUUAAAUUGCACAUUAGUGAAACUGAUAGUUGUGGAAUUUGUGGGUAGGAUAGUGAAUCUCACAAACAUCUGCUUUUUGAAUAUCCAUACAGCAAGGAUUAUUCAUUUGGUUCUCUUUAAUUUUGGGGUCAUUUGAUUUUAAGAAUUGAAAGUAUUACAGGAUAAAUCGGUGAUCACAUGCAUAUUGAACAAUGCUGUUACUGAGCGUAUCAUAGUUUAGGAAACUGUAUUAGUGGUGUAGAUGGAGCUGUCCUUUAAUUAUGCAUGUAUCUGAUGUAUCUGUUCAGUUUCAAGAGUCUUCAAAUGACUGAUAUAUGCCACGCAAGUUAUUAACCGUGUUUCAAGAGUCUACAACUAAUAAUACUUGGAACAAUUGUUCUCAUGUUUAGGAGUUAUCGGACUUGGCAAGCCAAUAACAAAGGAUCUCGAAAGUCUCUAAGAUGGAAAGAAAUUAUAGUAAGAUUUAAUUAGUUUGAUGAUUAUUUUUAUCGUAAUUUAUUCAUAUAUAUGUUAUUCUUUAAUUUAAUGUGUAUUAUAUUUGUAUCUUAGUGUUCUCGUGAACCGAAAAUGCUUGAAUGUGGCUAUUACGUCAUGAAGUACAUGUAUCAAAUAGUUUUACUUCGAUUACAAAGUAUUAGUAAUGUGGAAGAGGUACAUGUACAUGUAUUUUUGUUAUUAUUUUAUCUCAGCGGUUACUAUACAUGCGCUAGCUUUUAUCCAAACUUUACUAAUUAAUACAUUAUUUUGUUGAAGUACAGAUAUUUUCUCCAAACCCGUACACUCAAGAGGAGAUCGACGAUGUUCGAGAAAAAUGGAGUAGAUAUUUUAUUAGUAGUUGUUUGUAAUCAUUUUCUAGUUUUCAGAGAUAGAAAUUAAACUAUAACAAAUUGUAGGAUAUUUUUUGGAAUACAAUUAUUUACACUUGUUGAACCAACUUUCUUGUUUGAAUUAAUACAAAAAUAUUUUCGCAAA